This 505-nucleotide ribosomal RNA is filed under the name uncultured bacterium. RNAcentral's name for it is "bacterial SSU rRNA". It matches the Rfam family "Bacterial small subunit ribosomal RNA", at positions 29 to 507 of the family's 1533-position model. The record is from RNAcentral.
AACGAACGCUGGCGGCGUGCCUAACACAUGCAAGUCGAACGAGAAAGCGGGCUUCGGCCCGUGAGUACAGUGGCAGACGGGUGAGUAACACGUGGGUAACCUGCCCGGAGGUGGGGGAUAACCCUUCGAAAGGAGGGCUAAUACCGCAUAACAUCCCGAGCUCCUCGGAGCUCGAGAUCAAAGCUAGCCUCUACAUGUAAGCUAGCGCCACCGGAGGGGCCCGCGCCCCAUUAGCUUGUUGGUGAGGUAACGGCUCACCAAGGCUACGAUGGGUAGCCGGCCUGAGAGGGUGAUCGGCCACACUGGAACUGAGACACGGUCCAGACUCCUACGGGAGGCAGCAGUGAGGAAUUUUGCGCAAUGGGCGAAAGCCUGACGCAGCGACGCCGCGUGGAGGACGAAGGCCUUCGGGUCGUAAACUCCUGUCGAGUGGGACGAAUCCCGGAAGGAUGAAUAAGCCUUCCGGUUGACGGUACCUCCAGAAGAAGGCCCGGCCAACUACGUG